UGGCUUCAUAUUAAUGCCUCCAAAACAAACGCAGCCUCCUCAUCAAGAGACAGAAUAGUGUCCCUUCACCACCUCCGAUUAGGACAAGAUAGUAAGUUAACAAAACCAACAAGUGGACAGGGAAAAGAAAGGAGGAGUGGACAGACGAUGUCUGAGUGCGAUAAGUGAAGGAGGAGAGAAGUGAAAUGGUGUGUACAUUGUGGUGAGAGAGAGAGAGAGAGAGAAAAAGAGACAUAAGAGGAGGAGAGAGUCAUGGAGGGAGGGAGCCAGCUUGUCAUUGUGAAAUAGUUGGGUGGAAUACACGUGUGAACUGCAGUUCCUCUCUGCACUGCGCUGAAUGGUGACCAGCGACUCAAACAGACAGGAGGGGGAGGACUGACCAGCAUGGAGCUCCACUCACCCAAAAAGAGCUGAAUAAACAGUACAACACAGCACUGCAGUAAAGACAAGACACACACUGAGAAACACGGACAAAAGGACGCAAGAUAGGAAAGCAAGGUUUUGUUGGGAUACAAGAGCAGUUGGGUCAAGCAUUGGUGCCCUCAGGAUGUCGAGGAGGAGCUCUGCUGGGGAUUUGGUGCCCAAAGACAUCACUGAGGUACUGGCCCUUCAGGCUAGUAAGAAGAAACGUGGUUCAUCUUUAAGUCGGGCUUUUAGUUGGUUCAAGGGCAGCAAGCGCAAGAGGAGUCUCAGCAAUGGACAGAGCAGGUCAGGAGCCCCAUGUGGACGUUCUGAGGAGAACACUAGAACCAAACAGAUUCAUGCCAGUAAUGAUGCCUCUAAAGUUAUCGCUGGGACAUCACUUAUCCGAGGUGGAUUAGGCUACUAUCACAAGGGCAUGCCUUCUCUGGAAUAACUUAUCUUUCUAUUGAUGUUUCUUUUUGUCUUGUUUUGCAUUUUUUGGAGCUCAAAAUCUCUACUGGACAGAGAAUUUAGCUUUGGGCAUGGGUCCCAUCAGAGGCAUUGUGUGCUGUUGUCAU
Molecule: long non-coding RNA, 980 nt
Filed under: Danio rerio (zebrafish)
Lineage: Eukaryota; Metazoa; Chordata; Actinopteri; Cypriniformes; Danionidae
Description: lncRNA (ENSDARG00000117432.1)
Source: RNAcentral